AGAUUAUCAUAUCCAACGAUCUUUCCUUUGAGGCAGACUUCAUGACGAGCUAUAAGGCUAUUAACCCUCAAGUAGAGACUGAUGAUGAAGACAUGGAUCCUACUGUUUUAUUUUUGUUCUUUUGAUUAUUGGUUUAGUUGAUGUUUUAGUUGAUGUUUUAGUAUACUUAGGUUUUUAUAUUCACAGCUAUAUUAUUUAAUUUCUGUCUUGGCUGUAAAAUUUCUUUUUGUAGCAUUUCCAUAAAGAUAGGCUCAAAUGAAUGAAAUACGUUCAAAUGUAUAACGAAACAGUUUAAAGCAUCGCCGGCUAGAAGAAAUACUCAUAAGGGAACAUAGUCCAAGCAGUUCUUUGGCGGUGUUUGCAGGGAAAAGGAUCUUUGCCGUCUCAUGGAGCUGAACAUUUCGAUAAUGACACCCCACAAGGAAGGAAAGAAAUUAUACAACAUGUGUAACCAUAAUCAAGGUCUUGGCUGUAGCAUCUUUCAAAAACAGUAGCAUUCCAAGAAAUGUGGUUGCAAGAAUUGCUGCUAGCCUAACAAUGCAACCAAAACAAGUAAACAGUAGAAGUGCAAACAUUAAAUGGCUCCACUAAUCGUCUAGUUUAAGUUUCUCAACAGAGCAGUAAAAAACAAACCUGCUGAUCCAAUACUAGAGUGAACCUUAGAAAAGAUAGAAGCGGUAAAAUUGGUUUCAGAGUCUGUUUAAGUUUCAAUCUUUGCUUGUACAGCCAUGUAAGUGUUCCAUUUGCCAGAAGGAAUAUCAUGUUGGUUGCUUGAGGGACCAUGGGUUGUAUCAUGCGUGAUUUGAAGGUAAGUCCUAUCUCAUUUUUUCUUCAAUUGUGAAACACUUUUAGUUCUGAUUGAGGUGUAUCUUAAAACUUACCGACAAAGUUGUAGUUACAGGAAAUCCUACACUACACCCCUCAUAUGA
Molecule: long non-coding RNA, 929 nt
Organism: Papaver somniferum (opium poppy)
Lineage: Eukaryota; Viridiplantae; Streptophyta; Magnoliopsida; Ranunculales; Papaveraceae
Exons: 4
Source: RefSeq, a predicted model, not a curated record